This 496-nucleotide ribosomal RNA is filed under the name uncultured bacterium. Its description in RNAcentral is "partial 16S ribosomal RNA". It matches the Rfam family "Bacterial small subunit ribosomal RNA", at positions 29 to 507 of the family's 1533-position model. The record is from RNAcentral.
AUGAACGCUGGCGGCGUGCCUAAUACAUGCAAGUCGAGCGAACAGACGAGGAGCUUGCUCCUCUGACGUUAGCGGCGGACGGGUGAGUAACACGUGGAUAACCUACCUAUAAGACUGGGAUAACUUCGGGAAACCGGAGCUAAUACCGGAUAAUAUAUUGAACCGCAUGGUUCAAUAGUGAAAGACGGUUUUGCUGUCACUUAUAGAUGGAUCCGCGCCGCAUUAGCUAGUUGGUAAGGUAACGGCUUACCAAGGCGACGAUGCGUAGCCGACCUGAGAGGGUGAGCGGCCACACUGGAACUGAGACACGGUCCAGACUCCUACGGGAGGCAGCAGUAGGGAAUCUUCCGCAAUGGGCGAAAGCCUGACGGAGCAACGCCGCGUGAGUGAUGAAGGUCUUCGGAUCGUAAAACUCUGUUAUUAGGGAAGAACAAAUGUGUAAGUAACUAUGCACGUCUUGACGGUACCUAAUCAGAAAGCCACGGCUAACUACGUG